GUGGCUUGGUGGUAGAGCAUCCGCUUUGCACACAGAAGGUCCCAGGUUCAAUCCCAGAGGAACCCA
This is a non-coding RNA of Podarcis lilfordi (Lilford's wall lizard), 66 nucleotides long. The record is from the annotation of a GenBank genome assembly. NCBI's taxonomy places the organism in Eukaryota, Metazoa, Chordata, Lepidosauria, Squamata, Lacertidae.